Danio rerio (zebrafish) is the source of this 82-nucleotide non-coding RNA. Lineage: Eukaryota; Metazoa; Chordata; Actinopteri; Cypriniformes; Danionidae. The record is from Rfam.
GGUAGUGGGGCUGAGAGGUCUAAGGCGCUGGAUUUAGGCUCCAGUCUCUUCCGGGGUGUGGGUUCGAAUUCCACCGCUGCCA